Molecule: ribosomal RNA, 1287 nt
Filed under: metagenome
Description: bacterial SSU rRNA
Rfam family: Bacterial small subunit ribosomal RNA
Source: RNAcentral
CAUGAUUAAAGGUAUUCCGGUAGACGAUGGGGAUGCGUUCCAUUAGAUAGUAGGCGGGGUAACGGCCCACCUAGUCUUCGAUGGAUAGGGGUUCUGAGAGGAAGGUCCCCCACAUUGGAACUGAGACACGGUCCAAACUCCUACGGGAGGCAGCAGUGAGGAAUAUUGGUCAAUGGGCGAGAGCCUGAACCAGCCAAGUAGCGUGAAGGAUGACUGCCCUAUGGGUUGUAAACUUCUUUUAUAAAGGAAUAAAGUCGGGUAUGCAUACCCGUUUGCAUGUACUUUAUGAAUAAGGAUCGGCUAACUCCGUGCCAGCAGCCGCGGUAAUACGGAGGAUCCGAGCGUUAUCCGGAUUUAUUGGGUCUAAAGGGAGCGUAGAUGGAUGUUUAAGUCAGUUGUGAAAGUUUGCGGCUCAACCGUAAAAUUGCAGUUGAUACUGGAUAUCUUGAGUGCAGUUGAGGCAGGCGGAAUUCGUGGUGUAGCGGUGAAAUGCUUAGAUAUCACGAGGAACUCCGAUUGCGAAGGCAGCCUGCUAAGCUGCAACUGACAUUGAGGCUCGAAAGUGUGGGUAUCAAACAGGAUUAGAUACCCUGGUAGUCCACACGGUAAACGAUGAAUACUCGCUGUUUGCGAUAUACAGCAAGCGGCCAAGCGAAAGCGUUAAGUAUUCCACCUGGGGAGUACGCCGGCAACGGUGAAACUCAAAGGAAUUGACGGGGGCCCGCACAAGCGGAGGAACAUGUGGUUUAAUUCGAUGAUACGCGAGGAACCUUACCCGGGCUUAAAUUGCAGAUGAAUUACGGUGAAAGCCGUAAGCCGCAAGGCAUCUGUGAAGGUGCUGCAUGGUUGUCGUCAGCUCGUGCCGUGAGGUGUCGGCUUAAGUGCCAUAACGAGCGCAACCCUUGUUGUCAGUUACUAACAGGUCAUGCUGAGGACUCUGACAAGACUGCCAUCGUAAGAUGUGAGGAAGGUGGGGAUGACGUCAAAUCAGCACGGCCCUUACGUCCGGGGCUACACACGUGUUACAAUGGGGGGUACAGAGGGCCGCUACCACGCGAGUGGAUGCCAAUCCCAAAAACCUCUCUCAGUUCGGACUGGAGUCUGCAACCCGACUCCACGAAGCUGGAUUCGCUAGUAAUCGCGCAUCAGCCACGGCGCGGUGAAUACGUUCCCGGGCCUUGUACACACCGCCCGUCAAGCCAUGGGAGCCGGGGGUACCUGAAGUGCGUAACCGCGAGGAGCGCCCUAGGGUAAAACUGGUGACUGGGGCUAAGUCGAAACAAGGUA